RNAcentral lists this ribosomal RNA (450 nucleotides) under uncultured bacterium. Its description in RNAcentral is "partial 16S ribosomal RNA". It matches the Rfam family "Bacterial small subunit ribosomal RNA", at positions 338 to 795 of the family's 1533-position model. The record is from RNAcentral.
CCUACGGGUGGCUGCAGUGGGGAAUUUUGGACAAUGGGCGCAAGCCUGAUCUAGCAAUGCCGCGUGCAGGAUGAAGGCCUUCGGGUUGUAAACUGCUUUUGUACGGAGCGAAAAGGCUUCCACUAAUACUGGGGGCUCAUGACGGUACCGUAAGAAUAAGCACCGGCUAACUACGUGCCAGCAGCCGCGGUAAUACGUAGGGUGCAAGCGUUAAUCGGAGUUACUGGGCGUGAACCUUGCACAGACGGUCGAAAUCCCCGGGCUUAACCUGGGAACUGCACUUGUGACUGCAAGGCUGGAGUACGGCAGAGGGGGAUGGAAUUCCGCGUGUAGCAGUGAAAUGCGUAGAUAUGCGGAGGAACACCGAUGGCGAAGGCAAUCCCCUGGGCCUGUACUGACGCUCAUGCACGAAAGCGUGGGGAGCAAACAGGAUUAGAUACCCCGGUAGUC